CGCGGGGAAGUGUAACGGUUGCACGUCGGGCUCAUAAUCCGAAGGCAGGAGGUCCAAUUCCUCCCCCCGCAA
This 72-nucleotide transfer RNA is filed under the name bacterium. RNAcentral's name for it is "tRNA-Met". It matches the Rfam family "tRNA". Rfam says of the family: Transfer RNA (tRNA) molecules are approximately 80 nucleotides in length. Their secondary structure includes four short double-helical elements and three loops (D, anti-codon, and T loops). Further hydrogen bonds mediate the characteristic L-shaped molecular structure. tRNAs have two regions of fundamental functional importance: the anti-codon, which is responsible for specific mRNA codon recognition, and the 3' end, to which the tRNAs corresponding amino acid is attached (by aminoacyl-tRNA synthetases). tRNAs cope with the degeneracy of the genetic code in two manners: having more than one tRNA (with a specific anti-codon) for a particular amino acid; and 'wobble' base-pairing, i.e. permitting non-standard base-pairing at the 3rd anti-codon position. The record is from RNAcentral.